This 478-nucleotide ribosomal RNA is filed under the name uncultured bacterium. Its description in RNAcentral is "partial 16S ribosomal RNA". It matches the Rfam family "Bacterial small subunit ribosomal RNA", at positions 28 to 523 of the family's 1533-position model. The record is from RNAcentral.
GACGAACGCUGGCGGCGUGCUUAACACAUGCAAGUCGAACGGUAAGGCCCUUCGGGGUACACGAGUGGCGAACGGGUGAGUAACACGUGGGUGAUCUGCCCUGCACUUCGGGGUAAGCCUGGGAAACUGGGUCUAAUACCGGAUAGGACCACUGCCUGCAUGGGGGGUGGUGGAACGCUUUUGCGGUGUGGGAUGGGCCCGCGGCCUAUCAGCUUGUUGGUGGGGUGAUGGCCUACCAAGGCGACGACGGGUAGCCGGCCAGAGAGGGUGACCGGCCACACUGGGACUGAGAUACGGCCCAGACUCCUACGGGAGGCAGCAGUGGUGAAUAUUGCACAAUGGGCGCAAGCCUGAUGCAGCGACGCCGCGUGAGGGAUGACGGCCUUCGGGUUGUAAACCUCUUUCAGCACCGACGAAGCGCAAGUGACGGUAGGUGCAGAAGAAGGACCGGCCAACUACGUGCCAGCAGCCGCAGUAA